CGUAGGGUGCAAGCGUUAAUCGGAAUUACUGGGCGUAAAGCGUGCGCAGGCGGUUUUCAAGACAGAUGUGAAAUACCCCGGGCGUUAACCUGGGAAUGGCAUUUGUGACUGGAAGGCUAGAGUGUGUCAGAGGGGGUAGGAAUUCCACGUGUAGCAGUGAAAUGCGUAGAGAUGUGGAGGAAUACCGAUGGCGAAGGCAGCCCCCUGGGAUAACACUGACGCUCAUGCACGAAAGCGUGGGAGCAAACAGGAUU
Molecule: ribosomal RNA, 254 nt
Filed under: uncultured bacterium
Lineage: Bacteria
Description: partial 16S ribosomal RNA
Rfam family: Bacterial small subunit ribosomal RNA
Source: RNAcentral